GUCUAUGGCCAUACCACCCUGAAUGUGCCUGAUCUCAUCUGAUCUCAGAAGCUAAGCAGGGUUGGGCCUGGUUAGUACUGGGAUGGGAGAUAAGAGCAAAUGAUGGAGGAU
Molecule: ribosomal RNA, 111 nt
Filed under: Cricetulus griseus (Chinese hamster)
Lineage: Eukaryota; Metazoa; Chordata; Mammalia; Rodentia; Cricetidae
Source: RNAcentral